CGAAAAUAAAAAUUAUAAAAAACAGAAAAAACAGAGAGAGGAAAAACUUAAACUUUACCCUAUUUUUUUCAGUUUUAUCGUCUUCUCCACCUAAAGCUUCUCAACCCAUCAAUGGCAAUUUAGAGUUUUGGAUAAUUCUUGCUUUUUCAUCGGCGUUCUUCCACUUUCCUUUGUCUCUAAUCUCUUUUUCAUCUUUCUCCUCUUUGUCUUCAGACACAAAUCAACGAAAUUGAUUUGUUCUUCCUCUACAGAUUUCGUUAGACUCGGUAUCAUCAAUUUCAUCAAAAACCAACGUUCCUCUACACUCUGUAUGCAAUUAAUUCUCUAGAUUUUUAUUGAGAAACAAAUUGUUAUCUCUUUUUAACUAAAAUUAGUUCUAUGGUUGAUACUAGAGCAUAAUGUGAUCAGUAUUUGGGAUUCUUUAUGACCCAACCCUUGUUUCACGUUUUAUGUCUAGAUUAUUGGAAGGUCUCUUGUGUUGCUGCAAAUUCAUGAGUUAUGAACUUUUCUUGUUUUUUUCUUCAUUUAUAUAAUAUUUAAAUUUAAACCUUUUAUGUGUUUGACUUGUCACAUCCGGUGAAUGAUGAAUCAGUCUCUUCCUCGUUGGUGAAGUGUGCAAUUUCUCACCCAAAGCAAACAUUCCUGCAACCACACCUGUUACAAUUAAUGUCACAACAGUGCAAGUGGAUACUACAAUUGAUCUACCGUGUUUUAGUUCCCAGUCUGAUAAAAUAAAGGGAAAAAAAGAAAACGAUCAAACUACAAGAAGAUAACCUGUUAUGUUAUACACGACGGUGCACUCAUAUAUAUAAAUGCAGAUGAAGACUAUUAGUAAGUGGAGUUAGGAUUUACUUGUCUUUUCCGCCAAAGCUCUCGACUCUAUCAACGGCGAGUUUGGGUUCUUGGAAAAUCGUUGUUCUUCAUCGGUGUUUAUCCACUAGUUUCGUCUUUAAUCUCUGGUUUGUGAACUUUGCUUUCUCUCACUUAAAAUUUAACCAUUCUUGAUUGUUUAGGUUGGAGCAGCGAUCGUUAAAAGAGCACUGAGUUACCCUCUGACAUUGACAGCAAAGAAUGCUGGUGUCAACGGAAGCGUUGUCAGCGAGAAGGUAACUGACUUAACAUUAAAGCUCCACUCAUGUACAACUCUUGAUCUAAGUUGUGAGAUGUUGCUUGGGACAUGCGGCCUCGGUUGCAAAAACGUUCUUUAUGUCUAACUAUGUGGUUGUUGAGAUUAAGGGAGCCAAGACCAGUUACUACUGGCAACCCAAUGAACAAUUCAGGAUAUGGAUACUGAGAUAGACCAGCCAGAUUUACUCUUGAAGAUGAGAGAUAAAUGAACAUUCCGAAAUGAGAGUAGCUCACCGGGAUACAUAUUACUUUUAGCUUGCAAACAAACAUUGAUGUGCAAAGUGUAAUGAUUUUCGAACCAGAGCAUAUGUUAAAAGUAUACAGGAGUCAACAUUGUUGUAAGUUAUCAUAUCUUCAGUCUAACAUGUAAAUUUUAGCCACUUUCUGAGACAUCAUAAUCCUAUGUAUUUAUCAAA
Molecule: long non-coding RNA, 1544 nt
Organism: Brassica napus (rape)
Lineage: Eukaryota; Viridiplantae; Streptophyta; Magnoliopsida; Brassicales; Brassicaceae
Exons: 3
Source: RefSeq, a predicted model, not a curated record